GCCAGACUCCUACGGGAGGCAGCAGUGGGGGAUAUUGCACAAUGGGGGGAACCCUGAUGCAGCGACGCCGCGUGGGUGAAGGAGUGCUUCGGCAUGUAAAGCCCUAUCGGCAGGGAAGAAGCAAGACGGGACCUGACUAAGAAGCCCCGGCUAACUACGUGCCAGCAGCCGCGGUAAUACGUAGGGGGCAAGCGUUAUCCGGAUUCACUGGGUGUAAAGGGAGCGUAGACGGCGACGCAAGUCUGGAGUGAAAGCCCGGGGCCCAACCCCGGGACUGCUCUGGAAACUGCGUCGCUGGAGUACGGGAGGGGCAGGCGGAAUUCCUGGUGUAGCGGUGAAAUGCGUAGAUAUCAGGAGGAACACCAGUGGCGAAGGCGGCUUGCUGGACGAUGACUGACGUUGAGGCUCGAAAGCGUGGGGAGCCAGCAGGAUUAGAUACCCUAGUA
Molecule: ribosomal RNA, 446 nt
Filed under: uncultured bacterium
Lineage: Bacteria
Description: bacterial SSU rRNA
Rfam family: Bacterial small subunit ribosomal RNA
Source: RNAcentral